UGUUGUAAGUGUUUAAGGGCGUUCGGUGGAUGCCUUGGCACCAGGAGCCGAUGAAGGACGUGGUAGGCCGCGAUAGUCCUCGGGGAGUUGUCAAACGAGCUGUGAUCCGAGGGUGUCCGAAUGGGGAAACCCAGCACGAGUGAUGUCGUGUUACCCACCUGUGAAUGUAUAGCGGGUGUGGAGGGAACGUGGGGAAGUGAAACAUCUCAGUACCCAUAGGAAGAGAAAACAAUUGUGAUUCCGUGAGUAGUGGCGAGCGAAAGCGGAGGAGGCUAAACCA
RNAcentral lists this ribosomal RNA (280 nucleotides) under Streptomyces sp. SID10244. Its description in RNAcentral is "partial 23S ribosomal RNA". It matches the Rfam family "Bacterial large subunit ribosomal RNA", at positions 1 to 276 of the family's 2925-position model. Lineage: Bacteria; Bacillati; Actinomycetota; Actinomycetes; Kitasatosporales; Streptomycetaceae. The record is from RNAcentral.